GUAGUCAUAUGCUUGUCUCAAAGAUUAAGCCAUGCAUGUCUAAGUAUAAGCAAUCUAUACGGUGAAACUGCGAAUGGCUCAUUAAAUCAGUUAUCGUUUAUUUGAUAGUACCUUACUACUUGGAUAACCGUGGUAAUUCUAGAGCUAAUACAUGCUAAAAACCCCGACUUCGGAAGGGGUGUAUUUAUUAGAUAAAAAACCAAUGCCUUUCGGGGCUCCUUGGUGAUUCAUAAUAACUUAACGAAUCGCAUGGCCUUGUGCCGGCGAUGGUUCAUUCAAAUUUCUGCCCUAUCAACUUUCGAUGGUAAGGUAUUGGCUUACCAUGGUUUCAACGGGUAACGGGGAAU
This 347-nucleotide ribosomal RNA is filed under the name uncultured fungus. Its description in RNAcentral is "SSU rRNA". It matches the Rfam family "Eukaryotic small subunit ribosomal RNA", at positions 20 to 370 of the family's 1831-position model. Lineage: Eukaryota; Fungi. The record is from RNAcentral.